Molecule: long non-coding RNA, 309 nt
Filed under: Malus domestica (apple)
Lineage: Eukaryota; Viridiplantae; Streptophyta; Magnoliopsida; Rosales; Rosaceae
Description: long non-coding RNA (MDOM_LNC004120)
Source: RNAcentral
AUAUCUCAAGCCCAUCUGCAGCAAAUGGAUAGUCUUCUAUCAGUAAACGCACGCCGUGCGAGGAGCUUGAAUCUUCAACUGCCAUUCCUCUGAACAAAGCAAAGGGUAGAUACUUAGUUACCUUAAGCGCUAUCAUCUUUGUUUCUAAAUGGCAAUGCACAUAUGAUUAAUAUUACUGUCAUAAGAUUUACCUUUUGAUCAGAUCUACGGGGAGCGCUUGUUCAGGAAAAACCCAAUUCUUAUACAUUGCAGACGACCAUUCCAUUGAAAACUUUGCAGGAAAGAGUGUUGCCUCUAGUAUUCCACCAG